Micropterus dolomieu (smallmouth bass) is the source of this 375-nucleotide long non-coding RNA. RefSeq lists it as uncharacterized. NCBI's taxonomy places the organism in Eukaryota, Metazoa, Chordata, Actinopteri, Centrarchiformes, Centrarchidae. The record is from RefSeq and is a predicted model, not a curated record. The transcript has 2 exons.
UGCCUGCCUGCCUGCCUGCCUGCCUGCCUGCCUGCCUGCCUGCCUGCCUGCCUGCCUGCCUGCCUGCCUGCCUGCCUGCCUGCCUGCCUGCCUGCCUGGACGGACUUUCCAGUCAACUGCAUGCCAGUAAGAUGACCUUGAGAUCGUGGACUUCGGGGAACAUUUUUUGGUUCCCAUCCUCCAGCUCCACAAAGAUCUUCUAAAAAACCUUAAAAGGUCUAUAGGUGAAAGCCUAUGCUACAUUGAGAAUACCAAAACAGACCUUUGCUCCUUUGAUGGCUAUUCCAGCUUGCUUUUUAAGACCUUCCUCCCUGAUUUUUCUUGACCACAAUUAUGUUGAGUGCAAAUAAAGGGAGGGCCUCUUGGAUGGCUGAA